Molecule: ribosomal RNA, 468 nt
Filed under: uncultured bacterium
Lineage: Bacteria
Description: partial 16S ribosomal RNA
Rfam family: Bacterial small subunit ribosomal RNA
Source: RNAcentral
GACGAACGCUGGCGGCGUGCUUAACACAUGCAAGUCGAACGGAAAGGCCCUGCUUUUGUGGGGUGCUCGAGUGGCGAACGGGUGAGUAACACGUGAGUAACCUGCCCUUGACUUUGGGAUAACUUCAGGAAACUGGGGCUAAUACCGGAUAGGAGCUCCUGCUGCAUGGUGGGGGUUGGAAAGUUUCGGCGGUUGGGGAUGGACUCGCGGCUUAUCAGCUUGUUGGUGGGGUAGUGGCUUACCAAGGCUUUGACGGGUAGCCGGCCUGUGAGGGUGACCGGCCACAUUGGGACUGAGAUACGGCCCAGACUCCUACGGGAGGCAGCAGUGGGGAAUAUUGCACAAUGGGCGGAAGCCUGAUGAAGCAACGCCGCGUGCGGGAUGACGGCCUUCGGGUUGUAAACCGCUUUCGCCUGUGACGAAGCGUGAGUGACGGUAAUGGGUAAAGAAGCACCGGCUAACUACGUG